RNAcentral lists this ribosomal RNA (513 nucleotides) under uncultured microorganism. Its description in RNAcentral is "bacterial SSU rRNA". It matches the Rfam family "Bacterial small subunit ribosomal RNA", at positions 9 to 504 of the family's 1533-position model. The record is from RNAcentral.
GAGUUUGAUCGUGGCUCAGGAUGAACGCUGGCGGCGUGCCUAAUACAUGCAAGUCGAGCGAACGGACGAGAAGCUUGCUUCUCUGAUGUUAGCGGCGGACGGGUGAGUAACACGUGGAUAACCUACCUAUAAGACUGGGAUAACUUCGGGAAACCGGAGCUAAUACCGGAUAAUAUUUUGAACCGCAUGGUUCAAAAGUGAAAGACGGUCUUGCUGUCACUUAUAGAUGGAUCCGCGCUGCAUUAGCUAGUUGGUAAGGUAACGGCUUACCAAGGCAACGAUGCAUAGCCGACCUGAGAGGGUGAUCGGCCACACUGGAACUGAGACACGGUCCAGACUCCUACGGGAGGCAGCAGUAGGGAAUCUUCCGCAAUGGGCGAAAGCCUGACGGAGCAACGCCGCGUGAGUGAUGAAGGUCUUCGGAUCGUAAAACUCUGUUAUUAGGGAAGAACAUAUGUGUAAGUAACUGUGCACAUCUUGACGGCACCUAAUCAGAAGGCCACGGCUAACUAC